This is a long non-coding RNA of Passer domesticus (house sparrow), 1355 nucleotides long. RefSeq lists it as uncharacterized. The transcript is spliced from 4 exons. NCBI's taxonomy places the organism in Eukaryota, Metazoa, Chordata, Aves, Passeriformes, Passeridae. The record is from RefSeq and is a predicted model, not a curated record.
CCCUUCUAUCCCUCUGUUUUACUGUAGGACUUUAAGACAAAUGUGGUUUUGGCCUCUCAGCAUCUUCUUACGCACUUUCUAAUCCUUCUUCUUGGAUUUUCCUUUUCCAUUUUCCAAGGGCAGAAGUUUCUCAUUGAAGACAGAGCACUGGUGAGAAGUCAAGAACCAAGGACAGGUUUAAAAACAGAGUUUGGUUUGCCUGUAGUCACAGCUGGAGGUGGAGAGAGGACACAACUCUCUGAACUCUAAAGCUUUAGGAAAAGACAAAUUCUAAGCGAAGUUUACCCUUCAUUUUUCUUUCAAUAUCUCUCAUAGAACUCCUCAGCAGGGGAAUAACUGUGAGCAGUUUCUGAUUUGGUUCUUGGUGCAGAGGGGCUGGAAACCAAACAAUUUUUUUCCCCCAAGAUUUAGCAGUAAGUGAAAUGUGAGAAAUCCCUUGACAAAGGCCUCUGCCUAUGAAGUGUGGGACAGCACGUCUGUUGGGGGCUGGUUGGUUGUUCAUUCGUUGUCUUUCCUUUGAAGUAGACUCCAAGGAAAAACACUGGCACUCCAGUUAAAAUGAUAAUGAGUCCAACCCCACAGACGAUGGGCUCGGAGUACAAGCUGAAGACCAGCAGAAAGGCCCAGAACGCCAGAAGGACCAGUCCCAGGGACAUGGAAUGCCAUUGCAGCCUCUUAUGAAAUGAGCAAUGCUACCAGACAGCUCCAAAGUCUCAGCCCUCCAGGGAGAGCAUCAAGGAGUGGAUACUUGCCUGCGGGGAUCAACCAGCUCCUCUGUGACAUAGUUCAAGAAGUUCCAGCCACUGAAUGCAAAGGACCCUUGAAGAAAAGCUAAUGCUAAAUGUCCCACAGAUGGAGUCAUCCAAAAUCUGAAUGCAUUGCUUGGUGUCAACUCUUUGUAGUUUCCUGCAUAGAGAGUGCAAGCCAGAUGUUAGGUCACACCUACCUACCUCACAGGCUUCAAAAUAGGACAGGGUCCUGAUCAGGCAGCUCAGGCUCUCCUGGCACCCUCCACCACAUCUGUGCCACAGCAGCUCAUGAGACCCUUUGGCAACCUGCACUGGCUGAGGGUGGAUCCUUGGCAGUGCAAAUUCCUACCUGCCCUUAAUGCCAAUCUCUUUUACAAGAGUUUGGUGUUGUUUAGUAGAUAUCCUUGAAAAUAAAAUGUCUAUGCGCCUGAAAGAUUUGUCAAGACUGUAGGACUAGCACCACUAGGAAAACAAGUUUUCUGUUCUCUGUAAAUGUCACAUUUCUUCGUCCUUUAUAUAACUCAUCAUAUACAUGAUAAAAAUAUUAUAAGUCUUUUGAACUUUUGGCUUUCCAAUGACUGGUCAAUCAGUGAGACAUUUUUCACC